CCGCUACAGGUCACCUUUGUUAUAUCUACAAUAUUCACCACUGAGUCUGCAACUCGUAGAGGAACCUCUUGACUAUUCUUAAUCAUAGUGGCGUUAUAUUGAUAUGACACAGCUUUAUCGGAUGCAUACGGAACAGGGUCCGCUAAUUGUAUAACCAACAGAGAUACCAAUUUAUUGACAUUAUUGUUGUUGCUGCUAUCAAACAGAAUAACUACCCACUCAGAGGUCUUGAAUACAUGCACAAUCACAUUCACAUCAUCUAUAUCCCUUGACUGUUGAAUCUGUAUUACAUUCUGAUCCACCAACUUCUGUAUAUCUCUCUUGACAACCAUGCACCCACGAGGGCUCACGCUACAACUUAUACAACCAUCAUGGUCAUGUUCACAGUCAGUGAUCAAACAUAAAGUUUUAUGCAUUUCCACCAACGACCUACGAAUACGUCGUACAUCAAAAACUCGGAAAUUCCCUGGACAACCGUCCAACAUGUUAAUAGUAGCAUUACCAUGAGUAGGCAACAUAUUAGCUUUCACAUUCGACGCUUUGUCCUCAAAGGACACCAUACCAUUCUUCACAAGCUUUUGCACUUCAUAUUUUAGUGGAUAGCAAUUCUCUAUGUCAUGGCCAGGGGCUCCCUGGUGAAAAGCACAAUGUAAAUCAGGUUUGAACCACCGUGGAAGUGGCUCAGGAAUUUGUGCAGGAUUUCUUGGUUGAAUGAGGUUCUUGAGAACCAAUGACGGGUAUAACUCUACAUAAGUCAUAGGAAUAGGGUCAAAGGAGACCUUCUUCCUCUCAAAAUUUUGUUGAUGAUGAUUAUUGUUGUUGUUGUUGUAGUUCGUUCUUUGUUGUGGUUGUUGUUGAUGUUGUUGUUGAAUUGGAACUGAUUGAUUAGAAUUGUUGGAAAAUACAGGAAUUACUGAUGAAACUUGGUGUUGAUGCUGACGAGGUUGAGAACUUUUUCUGACAUAAGGCCUUCUCUUCCUCCCUACUGACAUUGAAUUAGUUUCUCCUUCCUUCCUCUUGGAGAAACUCCCACCAUACUUCUUGUUGGAUGAUGCUUCUUCCUUAGACAAACGUCCUUCACGGACUCAUUCUUGUAGCCUCAUCCCCAUAUUUACCAUUUCGGUAAAAUCAUUGGGGGCACUUGCAAUCAUACGUUCGUAAUAAAACAAACUCAGCAUAUUCAGGAAGAUCUUUGUCACUUCUUUCUCUUCCAAAGGUAGACUUAUCUGGCCAGCAAGCUCUCUCCAUCUCUGAGCAUACUCUUUAAAUGUCUCCUUAUCCUUUUGAGACAUUGACCUCAACUGGUCUCGAUCAUGCUCCAUAUCCAUGUUUUACUUAUACUUCUUGACAAAGGCCUCGCCUAAGUCAUUGAAAGUACUGACGCUUGCACUGUCCAAACCCAUAUACCACCUCAAAGCAUCUCUAGUCAAACUGUCUUGGAAAUGGUGAAUCAACAACUGAUCAUUAUCAGUCUGAGUAGACAUUUUCCUGGAAUACAUCAUAAGAUGGCUUAGCGGGUAAGUGUUCCCCUUAUAGUUUUCAAAGCUGGGGACCUUGAACUUCAUUGGGAUCUUAACAUUGGAGACCAGGCAGAGUUCAACAGCACUCUUCUCAAACAAAUCUUUUCCUCUCAAGGUUUUCAACUCUUUACGCAUCUCGAGGAAUUGAUCUUUCAUCUCAUCCAUCUUCUCGUAGACAUAUGGACCUUCAGACAGCUUAGAGUGGUAGGUAGUAUCCUCAACACGAGGCAAAGUAUGAAUACUGGAGGAGGCAAUGUUAUGAUCGAGCUAGAUGUCGGCAGAGAUACAAAGGUGGGCGCAUACGCUUCUAGCAUAAAGUUUGAUGGCAUUCCCCAAGGGAAUCCAUUAGGCAUAGAUUGACUGGCAACAACAGGAACAAUCGAGGUAGCAACCUCAGAAAUGACAGUUCUUUGAGGAGGAGGAGUUGCAGGAGUUGGUGAUGACUGGUUAUGUGCAGCAAUAACAAAUUCCAUCAGCAUUGUUAAUCUGGCGAUCUCAUCCUUCAGCUCUCGGUUCUCUUCCUCUAUAUGCUUCAUGAUCCUUGGUUGAUUAGCACGAGUGUUAUAACGGUGAGUCAGCUUGGCGUAUGCACAAAAGAAGAACUGAUAAGACAUCUGGCGGAAGAAAAACCUAUUAUGCAAAUGAUGCAUGAAAUGCUAUAUUUUUUUAUUGUUUAAUUUCAAGGAACAUAUGAAGUCCUAUUUGCAAAUAUGUAUAAUAAUAAUAAUAACAACAAUUUGAUUGACCAUAAAAAUAUCUUUUUAUUCAUAAAAUUUGGAAGGAUCACACUUAGUACUGUCGCGGCUGGAAAAAUGACAGAGUCGCCACCAUCCUUUAUUCGUUACUAAGGAACAGGGAAAUAAUGAUAAAACCUAUAAAUUAAAGGUGAGAUACUGGGUUCGGGAGUCAGUUAAGUAAGGGGAAGGUGUUAGGCACCCCUUACCUCCAUUGUACUCAAUGGGAUCCUCCUUAUUAAGUAAGGGGAAGGUGUUAGGCACCCCUUACCUCCAUUGUACUCAAUGGGAUCCUCCUUUAGUUCGAGGGUUAGUGUGUUUCUAAGGAAAGUUUGCUUUAAUAUUUAUUAAUUGUUUAAUUAUUUGUUUAUUUACAAAAAUGUUUUAUUAUUAUAGUAAGAGAAUCUUUAAGAAAUGUUUUUUAUUAUUAUACUCGCUAGAGUCUUACAACUCUAUGCCUACGUACCCUCAAAUUUAUUGAAGGAUCAGAGUCACGUAGUUCGUCUUGAAAAUGUUGAUUGGUUGAUUAUUUUUAUCCCUUAAAAGUUUUCAUGCAUCGGGACGGAGAAAUAAUUUUAAAAAAUGCCUCAGUACACUAGGGUAAAGGUUGUAUGGUUUGAAACGUCUUUGAAUUGAUUUUUAUCCCUUUAUCCCUUGCAAAAAAUCUUGUUUUAAUUUAUUUAAGAAAAUAAAUUAGGAGUCAUAAUGAUGUAUUAGACAUAACCCUUUAUCCCGAUUUUAUCUCCGAUUUAACCCUUGAAAACUUUAGAGUUUUAUCCCAUAUUGUACCCCAUUGGUUUUGGUUGCAAAAAUAUAAUUUAAUUUGAUUAAAACAAUAAAUUAAAUAAGAUGUCAUACGAUAUAUCCAUUAUCCCGAUUUUAUCCCUAAUUUAUAUCCCCUAAAAACCUCACAAUUAUUCCUAAUUUUAUCCCAUAUUCCUCGAUUUAAUUAAUCAUAAUUUUAAAUCUCUAAUUAGUUAAAUAUUAAUAUUAUAAUUAGUUAAUCGAAUUCCAUUUCCAAUUUUAUUAAUUAAGCCAUAAUUAAAUUAAAUCAAAAAACCCCCAAAAUGAUAUCAUUAAUAAAAAAUAGAAAAUCCUAAUUACUAAUUUAAUUGAAUUAAUCAUAAAGUUUAUAAAUUAAUAAUCAAAAUUAAUAAUAAUGGAAGGUGACUUUUUAUAGAAUUUUUUUUUUAAAAUAACCAGGUUUUUCAAAAAUAAAACGAAAAUAACCAUCUUUUCAAUAAAAUUUCCAAAAUAACCAACUUUGGGAGAGGAUGCACCGGGGGAGUUGGCGCACGCCCCAAAAUAUUAGAGGAGGCGCCAGAUCCCCAAAAUUUUAUUUUUAUAAAAUUAAAAUAUUAUUUUAUACAAUACUUUUUUUAUUAAACAAUUCUUUUUAUAAAAUAAAAAAUAUAUAUUUUAUUUAAUUUUAUUAUAAUGAAUUUUAAAUAAACAUAAAUAUUUUAACGAUCUACGUUCAUAUUUGAUAUGUCGAAUGGAUAUUAUCUAUAUUUUAUAUUUAAUGUUAUAAUAUAAAAUUGUGAUUGUACUCUUAAGAAAUUAAAAUGCAAAUAUUAAAUAAUAUUCUUAACUUAUACAUUUUAAAACAAUGAUAAAAUAAAAUUAAAUAUAUAUUUAGUUAAUUUAAAAUUUUAAAAUAGGUAUACAAGUUCUAAGCGAAAAUAAUUAAGACAAAUAUAUAGAGAUGAAACAAAUUAAUCUAAUGUAAUUAUACAUUAUUUUAAAACUAAGUCAAAAAAAUUUCAACUAAGUUUUAGUAAUGUAUUAAUCUACUAUAAUUAUACACGAUAUAUUAAAUAUAUGAUGAAAUAAAUUAACAUGAAUGGUCUGUGGUGCAGUGGUAACAUAUUUGACUCCUGAUCAAAAGGUUGUGUGUUCAAUUUUUGUUGGCUGCAAAAUUAAAUUUUCUUUUCACAAGCAACACACUGAGGCGCCAGAUGCAUUGACUCCUCCUCCAUGGAGGGUCAUGCAGAUGCUUGUGCGCCACUCCUCUCUCAAAGUUGGUUAUUUUGGAUUUUUUUUUGAAAAGAUGGUUAUUUUUGUAUUAUUUUUGAAAAACCUGGUUAUUUUAAAAAAGAAUCCUUUUUAUAAUAUUCAUUUUUUAUUUGUUACUUUAAUGAUUAUUAAUUUUUGGUAUUUUUAUUAAACUCUAUUAUUAUUUUAGGUAUUUUUAUAAUUUAAAUGAGAAAAUAAUUAUUUACAACAUUGAAAGCUAUAUUUUUGUGUAUUUUUGAAUUAAUAUAGAAAAGAGAAUAUUUUUGGUUUUUUAGGGAACUAAAGAAAUCAUUUUUGUUAUUUAAAUUUAAAUGAAAAGGAAAUAUUUUUUUAUUUAAUAAAUAUCUAAAGAUUUACUUUAGGAUUAUGAUUCUUUAAAUAAAUCAAUAUGUGGUGCAAAUAGCAAUGGUUCUAGAUCCCAAAUAUAAUUACAAAGCCUAAAAAAUAAUUUUAUUUUAUAAAAACUAGUAAGUAAGAUAAAGUAGUACAAAAUAAUAAUAAAAAAGGGAAAGAAAGAAUUAAAUAAAUAAAAAAGGAAAAACAUAAAACGUACACAUAGUAGCAGCGGUGUCCAUUUGCAUAACCAGUAGCAUGUCUUGACCUUUUCCAAAACCAAACUUUCAUAGCCACUCCCAAAUCGACAUGUGGUGGCGAGAUCGGAGACGUUGUGGCGUCGGUUGGAUGGCGAGCAGAGCGGAGGUCACCGACAACGGUUUUUCCGAUGAAGGGUAAUACGCAGUGACUUGUAGCGGUGUCAAUUGGGUGACUCGUGCAGUUAUUGUGUUGAGUCGCAUAGAGAUUCGACGUUGGUCUUGUAGAGAUUUUACAUUGAGUUGCAGUUUCAUUGAUAUGUUUCCUUCUUUUUCUUUUUUUUUUAUUUGUUUUUGUUGUGUGAUGAGUUAUUAUGAAUCCGUUGGUGGUGGUUUUUGAACUUGUGAUAGUUAGUGAAGGUUUGGUUGUGAAUUUACAGAUUUUGUUAUGGAUUUUGUUGGGAAAAAGUGUGGAGAAAAGAUAUGAAGAUGAGAUAUGUUUGGGUAUUGGAAUUUGCUAGUGUGUGUGAGAGAUGUUUUUUUUUCCGUGUAAGUGGAGGGGGAAAAGAGUCAGAGUAGAACCUUUUUUCUUGAAUUUUUUUCUAGUAUUUUGUAGUUUUAUAGUACAUCUCUCCCCUUUUUCACAAUCUGAUAGUUCUCUUUUAUAGUUCUUAAACAAAUCAAAAAAUGAAAUAAAAUCAAUCCCAUAAAGUGGCACAUAAAAAUUGAUUAUUACUAUUUAUUCUUCUUAAAAAUGCAUUUAAACUCACAUUAAUGUGU
Molecule: long non-coding RNA, 5580 nt
Filed under: Lathyrus oleraceus (garden pea)
Lineage: Eukaryota; Viridiplantae; Streptophyta; Magnoliopsida; Fabales; Fabaceae
Description: Pisum sativum (pea) long non-coding RNA (PSAT_LNC011228)
Source: RNAcentral